Molecule: ribosomal RNA, 254 nt
Filed under: uncultured bacterium
Lineage: Bacteria
Description: partial 16S ribosomal RNA
Rfam family: Bacterial small subunit ribosomal RNA
Source: RNAcentral
UACGUAGGGUGCGAGCGUUAAUCGGAAUUACUGGGCGUAAAGAGCUCGUAGGCGGUGUGUCGCGUCGGUCGUGAAAACUUUCAGCUUAACUGGGAGCUUGCGGUCGAUACGGGCAUCACUGGAGUUCGGCAGGGGAGACUGGAAUUCCUGGUGUAGCGGUGAAAUGCGCAGAUAUCAGGAGGAACACCGGUGGCGAAGGCGGGUCUCUGGGCCGAUACUGACGCUGAGGAGCGAAAGCGUGGGGAGCGAACAGG